GAUCCUGGCUCAGGAUGAACGCUAGCUACAGGCUUAACACAUGCAAGUCGAGGGGCAGCAUGAACUUAGCUUGCUAAGUUUGAUGGCGACCGGCGCACGGGUGAGUAACACGUAUCCAACCUGCCGAUGACUCGGGGGAUAGCCUUUCGAAAGAAAGAUUAAUACCCGAUGGCAUAGUUCUUCCGCAUGGUGGAACUAUUAAAGAAUUUCGGUCAUCGAUGGGGAUGCGUUCCAUUAGGUUGUUGGG
Molecule: ribosomal RNA, 247 nt
Filed under: uncultured bacterium
Lineage: Bacteria
Description: partial 16S ribosomal RNA
Rfam family: Bacterial small subunit ribosomal RNA
Source: RNAcentral